AUUGAACGCUGGCGGCAUGCUUUACACAUGCAAGUCGAACGGUAACAGGCCGCAAGGUGCUGUCGAGUGGCGGCCGGGGGGGUAAUACAUCGGAACGUGCCCAGUCGUGGUGGAUAACUACUCGAAAGAGUAGCUAAUACCGCAUACGAUCUAUGGAUUAAAGCGGGGGAGCGUAAGGACUCGCGCGAUUGGUGCGGCCGAUGUCAGAUUAGGUCGGUGGUGGGGUAACGGCUCGCCAAGCCAACGAUCUGUAGCGGGUCUGAGGGGAGGAGCAGCCACACUGGGACUGAGACACGGCCCAGGCACUUAGGGGAGGCAGCAGUGGGUAAUUGUGGAAAAUGGGCGGAAGCCUGAUCCAGCAAUGCCGGGCGGAGGAAGAAGGCCUGCGGGUUGUAAACUGGUUUUGUACGGAACGAAACGGCUCUGGUUAAUAGCCGGGGCUAAUGACGGUACCGUAAGAAUAAGCACGGGUAAACUACGU
This 481-nucleotide ribosomal RNA is filed under the name uncultured bacterium. RNAcentral describes it as "partial 16S ribosomal RNA". It matches the Rfam family "Bacterial small subunit ribosomal RNA", at positions 29 to 506 of the family's 1533-position model. The record is from RNAcentral.